Molecule: long non-coding RNA, 1582 nt
Organism: Monodelphis domestica (gray short-tailed opossum)
Lineage: Eukaryota; Metazoa; Chordata; Mammalia; Didelphimorphia; Didelphidae
Source: Ensembl
AUCCAUUCUUGCAGCUGGCUCACCCUGCAAUAUUUCUCCAUGCUGCAACCCCCUGUCUCCCAUGGCCUCAGGAAAGAGAGCUCACGCCUCCCCCCUCCCUCCAGAAGAGCGGGCUUCUCCCAGACUCCUUGGCUGCUCCGGAAAUCAUCUUGCAGAGAAUCAUCCUGGUCGGAAAUGGUUCCUUCCUCAGGAGGCUGCCCAGGGAAGCCGCCGGGUGUCCGUCCACAGAUGGGGCUUAGCUGAAGCUUGGCUCACUGGUGGGAGCUCCAUGCCAAGCCCAAGGGACAGAAAUCACGCUCAAGGCCUGAAGGAGAGAGGAGGGACUCUUGAUUUGUUUGCAGAGGACACACACAAUGGACUCACACAUGUCCUGGGGCACACAGAUGUGUGUGCAUGUGCAUGCAUGCAUGUGUGCAUGUGCACAUGCAUGUACAGCACAGGUACACACAAGUGUGUUUACACAUGUGUGCAUACACACACGUGUAUAUGUGUGCCUGUGGCGUGUGCAUGUAUGUGCAUGCAUGCAUACAUGCGCGCACCUGUGUGUGUGUGUGUACAGGAACUCCGCUGCCAGCAAGGCUGACUCCCUGUUCUACUUGAUCCCAACAAGUGGCCGUCCUGUCCUGCUUCUGCUUGAAGACGUUUAGCCGGCGGAACCCUUGUCUGUGGGCGGCCGCUCCCCUGGGAAACAGCUUGGGGGUUUUUCUAGGCGGAGAACUUUGGUUUGGCGAAUGGCUGGUGGCGCUGUGGCGAGAGCUCCGGUCCUGGAGUCCAGCAUGCCGGAGACACCAUUCAGCCUCAAAUGCUUACUGGUGGUCUGGCCCUGCACAACUCACUUAAUGUCUGUUUGCCUCAGUUUGCUCAACUGUAAAAUGGGCUGACAUGUACCCUCCAGGCUUGUUGUGAAGAUCAAAGGACACAGGACGUCUGUAGAACGUUCUUAGCUCAGUCCUCGACACACGGGAGGAGCUGCGCCAGUCGUCGUUUCUUCCCUUUCUGUCCCUCCCUUGAGUUUUUCAAGCGUGAAUGUGUGACGAUGACUCCUGGGGCCCCACACUGGGUCUCCCUGCCAGGCUUUCAGAUGCUUCAAUCCAGAUACAUCCACCAGGAAUCUUUUCUGUGGCAGCCUCAACGCCCUUUAGUUUGUCCUCAGGAUCCUCCAUUCUCCUCGUUUUCCUCCUUUUGGAGGUUGUCCCACUUUCAAUCAACGUCCUUCCUAAGAGGCAGUGAUGGGAUUUGAACAGUGACCUCGAUGGCAUCCGGCCAGGAUGGAGGUGCACAGGACUACUGACUUCCCAUCCUGGGACUCCACCUCCAAGCAGCCAGACCUCACUUGAACCCCGUACAGUCACCAUACCACAAUGCUAACUCAUGAAGGAGCCGUCCACUACGACCCCAGACUCUUUUCAGACAAACCGUGCUCUGAUCAUGCUCUCUCUUCUUUGUAACUGACUUAAUUUUUAUUAAGUAUUUUUAUUAAUUUCUAAAAUUUUAUUAAUUAUCAAUUCAAUGAUUUUUAUCAAUUAUCAAUCUAAUAUUUUAUCAAUUGUUAAUUAAAAUUUUAUUGAUUACUAAUUUAAUA